CCUACGGGAGGCAGCAGUGAGGAAUAUUGGUCAAUGGGCGGAAGCCUGAACCAGCCAAGUCGCGUGAGGGAUUAAGGCCCUGCGGGUCGUAAACCUCUUUUGCCGGGGAGCAGAGGUCCGGACGUGUCCGGGCCGGGAGAGUACCCGGAGAAAAAGCAUCGGCUAACCCCGUGCCAGCAGCCGCGGUAAUACGGAGGAUGCGAGCGUUAUCCGGAUUUAUGGGGUUUAAAGGGUGCGUAGGCGGGAAUUAAGCCGGGGGGAAAAUGUCGGGGGUCAACCCCGGCCUGGCGUCGGAAAUGGGUGCCUUGAGUGGGCGAGAAGUAUGCGGAAUGCGUGGUGUAGCGGUGAAAUGCAUAGAUAUCACGCAGAACCCCGAUUGCGAAGGCAGCAUACCGGCGCCCUACUGACGCUGAGGCACGAAAGUGCGGGUAUCAAACAGGAUUAGAUACCCUAGUAGUC
RNAcentral lists this ribosomal RNA (459 nucleotides) under uncultured bacterium. RNAcentral's name for it is "partial 16S ribosomal RNA". It matches the Rfam family "Bacterial small subunit ribosomal RNA", at positions 338 to 795 of the family's 1533-position model. The record is from RNAcentral.